RNAcentral lists this ribosomal RNA (460 nucleotides) under uncultured bacterium. RNAcentral describes it as "partial 16S ribosomal RNA". It matches the Rfam family "Bacterial small subunit ribosomal RNA", at positions 338 to 795 of the family's 1533-position model. The record is from RNAcentral.
CCUACGGGCGGCAGCAGUGAGGAAUAUUGGUCAAUGGGCGAGAGCCUGAACCAGCCAAGUCGCGUGAAGGAUGAAGGAUCUAUGGUUUGUAAACUUCUUUUAUAUGGGAAUAAAGUGAGGAACGUGUUCCUUUUUGUAUGUACCAUAUGAAUAAGCAUCGGCUAACUCCGUGCCAGCAGCCGCGGUAAUACGGAGGAUGCGAGCGUUAUCCGGAUUUAUUGGGUUUAAAGGGUGCGUAGGUGGUUAAUUAAGUCAGCGGUGAAAGUUUGUGGCUCAACCAUAAAAUUGCCGUUGAAACUGGUUGACUUGAGUAUAUUUGAGGUAGGCGGAAUGCGUGGUGUAGCGGUGAAAUGCAUAGAUAUCACGCAGAACUCCGAUUGCGAAGGCAGCAUACCGGCGCCCAACUGACGCUGAAGCACGAAAGCGUGGGUAUCGAACAGGAUUAGAUACCCGGGUAGUC